RNAcentral lists this ribosomal RNA (332 nucleotides) under uncultured eukaryote. RNAcentral's name for it is "partial 18S ribosomal RNA". It matches the Rfam family "Eukaryotic small subunit ribosomal RNA", at positions 1470 to 1796 of the family's 1831-position model. The record is from RNAcentral.
CCCUUAGAUGUUCUGGGCUGCACACGUGCUACACUGGCAGGUUCAGCGAGCUUCAUGCCCUGAUCUGAAAGGAAUGGGAAAUCUUUUCAAAACCUGCCGUGCUUGGGAUAGAUGUUUGCAAUUAUUCAUCUUCAACGAGGAUUGCCUUGUAAGCGCACGUCAUCAGCGUGCAUUGAAUACGGCCCUGUAUUCUGUACACACCGCCCGUCGCUCCUACCGAUUGAAGUUUUCGGUGAGUUGACAGGAGGAUUUUUUUGAAACUGGUUCGCCAGUGGAUUUUAGAUACAAAUGCCAACGAAUCGAUGGCUUUAGAGGAAGGAGAAGUCGUAACA